RNAcentral lists this ribosomal RNA (484 nucleotides) under uncultured bacterium. Its description in RNAcentral is "partial 16S ribosomal RNA". It matches the Rfam family "Bacterial small subunit ribosomal RNA", at positions 29 to 507 of the family's 1533-position model. The record is from RNAcentral.
AUUGAACGCUGGCGGCAUGCUUUACACAUGCAAGUCGAACGGCAGCGCGGGCUUCGGCCUGGCGGCGAGUGGCGGACGGGUGAGUAAUACAUCGGAACGUGCCCAGUAGUGGGGGAUAGCUCGGCGAAAGCCGGAUUAAUACCGCAUACGACCUGAGGGUGAAAGCGGGGGAUCUUCGGACCUCGCGCUAUUGGAGCGGCCGAUGGCAGAUUAGCUAGUUGGUGGGGUAAAGGCCUACCAAGGCGACGAUCUGUAGCUGGUCUGAGAGGACGACCAGCCACACUGGGACUGAGACACGGCCCAGACUCCUACGGGAGGCAGCAGUGGGGAAUUUAGGACAAUGGGCGAAAGCCUGAUCCAGCAAUGCCGCGUGUGUGAUGAAGGCCUUCGGGUUGUAAAGCACUUUUGGCGGGAACGAAAAGGACUGUGCCAAUACCACGGUUCGAUGACGGUACCCGCAGAAUAAGCACCGGCUAACUACGUG